Molecule: ribosomal RNA, 309 nt
Filed under: uncultured bacterium
Lineage: Bacteria
Description: partial 16S ribosomal RNA
Rfam family: Bacterial small subunit ribosomal RNA
Source: RNAcentral
AGAGACAGCAGCAGCCGCGGUAAUACGUAGGUGGCAAGCGUUGUCCGGAAUUAUUGGGCGUAAAGCGCGCGCAGGCGGAUCAGUCAGUCUGUCUUAAAAGUUCGGGGCUUAACCCCGUGAGGGGAUGGAAACUGCUGAUCUAGAGUAUCGGAGAGAAAAGUGGAAUUCCUAGUGUAGCGGUGAAAUGCGUAGAUAUUAGGAAGAACACCAGUGGCGAAGGCGACUUUCUGGACGAAAACUGACGCUGAGGCGCGAAAGCCAGGGGAGCGAACGGGAUUAGAGACCCGUGUAGUCCCUGUCUCUUAUACA